RNAcentral lists this transfer RNA (85 nucleotides) under Felis catus (domestic cat). It matches the Rfam family "tRNA". Rfam says of the family: Transfer RNA (tRNA) molecules are approximately 80 nucleotides in length. Their secondary structure includes four short double-helical elements and three loops (D, anti-codon, and T loops). The record is from Rfam by way of RNAcentral. Lineage: Eukaryota; Metazoa; Chordata; Mammalia; Carnivora; Felidae.
ACCUGGGUGGCUCAGUCGGUUGAGCGUCCGACUUCAGCUCGGGUCAUGAUCUCACAGUCUGUGAGUUCGAGCCCCACGUCAGGCU